Molecule: unclassified non-coding RNA, 345 nt
Filed under: soil metagenome
Description: partial contains 5.8S ribosomal RNA, internal transcribed spacer 2, and large subunit ribosomal RNA
Rfam family: 5.8S ribosomal RNA (bases 1-120)
Source: RNAcentral
GAUGAAGAACGUAGCGAAAUGCGAUAAGUAAUGUGAAUUGCAGAAUUCAGUGAAUCAUCGAGUCUUUGAACGCACAUUGCGCCACCUGGUAUUCCGGGGGGCAUGCCUGUCCGAGCGUCAUUGCUGCCCUCAAGCACGGCUUGUGUGUUGGGCCUCCGUCCUCCUCCCGGGGGACGGGCCCGAAAGGCAGCGGCGGCACCGCGUCCGGUCCUCGAGCGUAUGGGGCUUCGUCACCCGCUCUUGUAGGCCCGGCCGGCGCUUGCCGACACAUCAAUCUUUUUUCCAGGUUGACCUCGGAUCAGGUAGGGAUACCCGCUGAACUUAAGCAUAUCAAUAAGCGGAGGA